AUACGUAGGGAGCAAGCGUUGUCCGGAUUUACUGGGUGUAAAGGGUGCGUAGGCGGCUUGGUAAGUCAGAUGUGAAAUGUAGAGGCUCAACCUCUGAACUGCAUUUGAAACUAUUGAGCUUGAGUGAUGUAGAGGCAGGCGGAAUUUCCUGUUUAGCGGUGGAAUGCGUAGAGAUAGGGAGGAACACCAGUGGCGAAGGCGGCCUGCUGGGCAUUAACUGACGCUGAGGCACGAAAGCGUGGGUAGCAAACAGGAUUAGAUACCCUGGUAGUCCACGCUGUAAACGAUGAUUACUAGGUGUGGGUGGACUGACCCCAUCCGUGCCGCAGUUAACACAAUAAGUAAUCCACCUGGGGAGUACGGCCGCAAGGUUGAAACUCAAAUGAAUUGACGGGG
RNAcentral lists this ribosomal RNA (396 nucleotides) under uncultured bacterium. Its description in RNAcentral is "partial 16S ribosomal RNA". It matches the Rfam family "Bacterial small subunit ribosomal RNA", at positions 523 to 918 of the family's 1533-position model. The record is from RNAcentral.